UACGUAGGGUGCAAGCGUUGUCCGGAUUUAUUGGGCGUAAAGAGCUCGUAGGCGGCUUGUUGCGUCUGCUGUGAAAUCCCGGGGCUUAACCCCGGGCGUGCAGUGGAUACGGGCAGGCUGGAGGCAGGCAGGGGAGAAUGGAAUUCCCGGUGUAGCGGUGAAAUGCGCAGAUAUCGGGAGGAACACCGGUGGCGAAGGCGGUUCUCUGGGCCUGUUCUGACGCUGAGGAGCGAAAGCGUGGGGAGCGAACAGG
This 253-nucleotide ribosomal RNA is filed under the name uncultured bacterium. RNAcentral describes it as "partial 16S ribosomal RNA". It matches the Rfam family "Bacterial small subunit ribosomal RNA", at positions 524 to 776 of the family's 1533-position model. The record is from RNAcentral.